GAUGAACGCUGGCGGCGUGCCUAAUACAUGCAAGUCGAGUGAACAGACGAGGAGCUUGCUCCUCUGACGUUAGCGGCGGACGGGUGAGUAACACGUGGAUAACCUACCUAUAAGACUGGGAUAACUUCGGGAAACCGGAGCUAAUACCGGAUAAUAUAUUGAACCGCAUGGUUCAAUAGUGAAAGACGGUUUUGCUGUCACUUAUAGAUGGAUCCGCGCCGCAUUAGCUAGUUGGUAAGGUAACGGCUUACCAAGGCAACGAUGCGUAGCCGACCUGAGAGGGUGAUCGGCCACACUGGAACUGAGACACGGUCCAGACUCCUACGGGAGGCAGCAGUAGGGAAUCUUCCGCGAUGGGCGAAAGCCUGACGGAGCAACGCCGCGUGAGUGAUGAAGGUCUUCGGAUCGUAAAACUCUGUUAUUAGGGAAGAACAAAUGUGUAAGUAACUAUGCACGUCUUGACGGUACCUAAUCAGAAAGCCACGGCUAACUACGUGCCAGCAGCCGCCGUAA
This 513-nucleotide ribosomal RNA is filed under the name uncultured bacterium. Its description in RNAcentral is "partial 16S ribosomal RNA". It matches the Rfam family "Bacterial small subunit ribosomal RNA", at positions 28 to 523 of the family's 1533-position model. The record is from RNAcentral.